AUAAAAAUAAUUUAAUUUUUAAUAUUUAAAAUUUUUAAUUUUUUAUUAAUACGAAUUAUUUUUUAUU
Molecule: transfer RNA, 67 nt
Filed under: Hasora anura
Lineage: Eukaryota; Metazoa; Arthropoda; Insecta; Lepidoptera; Hesperiidae
Description: tRNA-Lys
Source: RNAcentral